CAGUCCGGAAUGCGGUUCGAUAAAAUUGCUCCCCUUGUUUAUUUCGCUCUCCUGUCAAAUCAUGUAAUUUCGCUACCUCCAAUGGUAGACGCUACAACGAUGGGUGUCGUCAAGAAAGGUACGAUUAAAGGAAUCAGCUAGGAAUUAGACGAUCACCAUUGGUAUAGGUGAGUUGUUUAAUAGUUGUUGCUUUGUGAUAAAUGCAUGUUUUGGAUUAAUUGAUAAUCAGGAAUAGCUGGAAAGGAAAGAAACGUGUUGCUACGUGAACCCGGAAAGGCCGGGACGAAUUUAAAAAAAAAAUCUAGAGACGAUCGUUCUGAGUGUGCCACCUACACAUUUUUAAACGUGUACACAAGCACAAUAUUCCCUAUCUAUGUAAUGUGUUUUCAUAAUUAUGUGAUAUAGAGCAAAAAAAGGUAGCAGUUUUUUGUGUCUUGUUGUUAAGCAUUUCCAGGGGAGAUAAUGUUAUUUUUUCACGGUGUGUUUGAUAGGUUUGUUACAUUGUAACAUUAUUUAAUACACACUCAGAAAGUGGAUUAAAAUAGCCUCCCACACUAAAUUAACUGAAUUUUAAUUAUUAUAUUUACCGUAAUGCUAUUAUAUAAACUUCGGAGGUUCAUAUCACUUAUAUUCAACGUUUGUAUAUCGGAUUUUUUUUUACUAUUGAUGUUGAACGGUUCAUAGUAAAAAAAAAAUCCGAUAAAACCGUUGAAUGUAAAUGAUAUGAACCUCAGAAGUGUUAUAUAUUGUCCUUUAAUAUAAGACCGGAGGUUCAUAUCAUUUAACAUUCAACAUUUUUUAUCGAAUGUUUGUUAUUAACUAUCAAUGUUCAACGGUUCAACGGUUCAACAUUGGUAGUUAAAAAAAUCCGAUAAAAAUGAACGGUUCAACAUUGAUAGUAAAAAACAAUCCGAUAAACAUGUUGAAUCUUAAAGAUAUGAAACUCUGAAGCCUUACAUUAUAGGACUAUCGUUUAUUAGUUCUUUAUUCUAAAUUUUAUCCUAACUAAAUUUUUGUUUUUUUGUGGUGUAUAUUAAAAAAAGGGGAGGGGCUUUUAAAACACCAAAAAAAUUUAAAAAAGGGGAGGGGCUUUUAAAACACCAAAAUACCUUACAAAUUUCAGGAUUCGACACUAACGCAUCCUACAAUAUUUGUUUACAGAAUGAGAAUUGAAUUCCGAUCCGUUUGUACGGGGAACAUGUGGUUGCAACCCCCUCUUUAAUUGCCUGUUCGAUUUUUUUUUUUUUGCAGUGUCGAAAAGGGAGAUAGACAGCAGUUUGUUUUAUCAAGAAGUUAUGUACGUUCUGCUAUACAUUUGACAGUCAGUAAUUAUUCUGAAGUACACAUGUCGACCAGAGGCAUGGAACAGAGAGGAGAGGUUUUAAAGUACCAGAUGCUUAUCUGAGAUUCCAAUUUGAACUAAAGAAAGCAAUAUAUAAAGAUAUGUAGGAGAAAUAAUCUAUAUGAAUAAAGUUAUGUCACAAAAGGAACUUGUUUUUUUUUAUAUACAGAAUUUGUCAAACGUCUCCAUAACAGAAGAGAUGUGAAUGCAUCCUUCAUAGUCUUGUAAUACUAAUGGUAAUAAUUUAUAUAAUUUCUGAGAUGAUAUAGCAGUGCUAUUGGUUUCCCCUUUCUCCUUCUUCAAAGAACUUGAUCAUCUGAACUCUUUCUUUUUUUUUCAAAA
This 1684-nucleotide long non-coding RNA is filed under the name Mytilus galloprovincialis (Mediterranean mussel). Lineage: Eukaryota; Metazoa; Mollusca; Bivalvia; Mytilida; Mytilidae. The record is from RNAcentral.